Molecule: ribosomal RNA, 1237 nt
Filed under: metagenome
Description: eukaryotic LSU rRNA
Rfam family: Eukaryotic large subunit ribosomal RNA
Source: RNAcentral
AAGAAUAAAAUAUGAACGACGAAUUCUAGAAGCAGAAAAAUGGAAUUAGAAAAACGUUUGUAAAGACAGAUUAAAGAUGAAAUAAGAAGUGAAAGGUGUUGUGAAAGUGAACUAAGAGAAAUCGAAGGUAGCGAUUUCAUAUUAUUUAAUAUUCAAUUUAGAACUGGUACGGACAAGGGGAAUCCGACUGUUUAACUAAAACAAAGCAUUGUGAUGGUCUUAGAAGAUGUUGACACAAUGUGGUUUCUGCUCAGUGCUCAGAUUGUUAAAGUGAAGAGAUUCAAUGAAGCGCGAGUAAACAGCGGGAGUAACUAUGACUCUCUUAAGGUAGCCAAAUGCCUCGUCGUCCAAUUAGCGACGCGCAUGAAUGGAUUAAUGAGAUUCCCACUGUCCCUAAUUACUAUCUAGCGAAACCACAGCCAAGGGAACGGGCUUGGCAAAAUCAGCGGGGAAAGAAGACCCUGUUGAGCUUGACUUUAUUCAGACUUUGUGAAAUGACUCUCGAGGUAUAGAAUAGGUGGGAGAUAAUCGACAAUGAAAUACCACUACUUUUGACGUUGUUUUACUUAUUAAAUAAAAUAUUAAGAAAGGAUAAUCCUUUUAUUUCUUGAUUUAACGAAUAUUAUAAGUUGUAACUAAGUUGCAACCUCUGAUUUUGGAAAUAUGUUUAAGACAUUGUCUGGUGGGGAGUUUGGCUGGGGCGGCACAUCUGUUAAAAGAUAACACAGGUGUCCAAAGUAUAACUCAAUGAGAACAGAAAUCUCAUGUAGAAUAAAAGGGUAAAAGUUAUAUUGAUUUUGAUUUUCAGUAAGAAUACAAACCGUGAAAGCGUGGCCUAUCGAUCCUUUAUUAAAUAAAAAUCUUUAUGCUAGAGGUGUCAGAAAAGUUACCACAGGGAUAACUGGCUUGUGGCAGCCAAGAGUUCAAAUCGACGUUGCUUUUUGAUCCUUCGAUGUCGGCUCUUCCUAUCAUUGUGAAGCAGAAUUCACCAAGUGUUGGAUUGUUCACCCUUUAAAAGGGAACGUGAGCUGGGUUUAGACCGUCGUGAGACAGGUUAGUUUUACCCUACUGAUAGCAGAACAGUAGGUAUUUUAAGAGUAAUUCAAUUUAGUACGAGAGGAACCAUUGAUUCAGAUAUUUGGUUUAUGGGAUUAUAUGAAACUAUAGCGUCUCGAAGCUAUCAUCUGCAAGAUUAUGACUGAACGCCUCUAAGUCAGAAUCUUCGCUGAAUAAUUGA